UCGAUCUUUUCAAUAAAAAAAACCCCAAGCUUCAACAACUUAUGGUGGGACGGGUCACGGGUAUACCUAGGGGUGGAAACGAGCCGAGCUCGAGCGAGCUUAUGUCAGCUCAAAUUCGGCUUGAAAUUAAUUUCGAGCCUAAAUUUAGGCUCAAGCUCGGCUUGAAAUUAAUUCGAGCCGAGCUCGAGCGAGCCUAAUUUCGAGUCGAGCCGAGCUCGAGCUCUAAACGAGCCGAUUGAAAUUCUCGACAUUAUAUAAUCAAUAGUUAAUUUUUAUAGAACAUUACCUACAACUUGAUGCAACAUGUCCAAUAGUUCAAAAUACAAAAUAAUUAUAAGAAAUGUGAGCUAUGGUGACUUCCUGACUGGAUGAGAGUUUGAGAGAGAGAGAGAGAGAGAGAG
Molecule: long non-coding RNA, 401 nt
Filed under: Ananas comosus (pineapple)
Lineage: Eukaryota; Viridiplantae; Streptophyta; Magnoliopsida; Poales; Bromeliaceae
Description: long non-coding RNA (ACOM_LNC005375)
Source: RNAcentral